UACGUAGGAGGCGAGCGUUGUCCGGAAUUCCUGGGCGUAAAGAGCGCGUAGGCGUCACGGUACGACCACGGUGAAAGCCCCCGGCUCAACUGGGGAGGGUCCGUGGUAACGGCCGAGCUGUGAGUGCAGGAGAGGGAAGUGGAACUCCGGGAGUAGCGGUGAAAUGCGUUGAUAUCGUUCGGAACACCAAUAGCGUAGGCAGGCUUCUGGGUGCCACCUGACACUGCUAGGACGAAAGCGUGGGUAGCGAAUGGG
RNAcentral lists this ribosomal RNA (255 nucleotides) under uncultured bacterium. Its description in RNAcentral is "partial 16S ribosomal RNA". It matches the Rfam family "Bacterial small subunit ribosomal RNA", at positions 524 to 776 of the family's 1533-position model. The record is from RNAcentral.